GGGGAGCCCAGAGCCACUGCCAGAGCUCUGUGAUUGGUGGAUGAGGUCUUUGAGGGACUCCCCAGCUGGGAUGAACACUUCCUGUUCCACGUCUUUGUGAUAGCACUGACGCUCGCUCUGCCACUUGUACCUGACACACACACACACACACACACACACACACACACACACACACACACACACACACAGUUACAGGUGUGUCACGGUUGCCAAGGUGAUGCUGAGGCGUUACCUGUAGUAGCAGACCACAGUGACACAGAUGAGCGUGCAGCAGCACACCGUCAUGGAGACCAGGAAGGCCAACCAGUGGGGGCUGCCUUCUGCAAACAAGAUGGAGCCAAAGUGGCGACUAUCGGGGCGUUUCGAGUGCGACAUCUUGUAUUACUUCUUCCUGUGAGCGCACUUAAAUACCAAGUUUAAGUACCAGAAGGCUCCUGCGGGGGCAGUGUGGGCUGCAGGUCCCGAUUGCAGAAGUCCGUGUUGCAGCACUCGAUGGUCCUCCUGGUCUGAGCGUUGGGAGAGUCCUGUCCAUCAAACACACAAAUGUAUGGAUCAUAUCGGCAUGAUCAAUCCUGUGUGUGUGUGUGUGUGUGUGUGCGUGUACCUUGCACUGGAAGUGUGAGCCUUCAUACUUCAUGCAGCCCGAGGUGAGGAUGGGCUCGCCGUGCUCGUCCUCCUCGAUGAUGGCGAAGCACUGACCAUUGGUUCUGCGGAACAAGAGCAAUCAAAUUUACUUCCGCCUUCUGAAACGCUUGAAGAGUAGAAGUACUUUUUUCCCCCCGCGCUUUGAACCCUGUGGCUUAUAAAACGAUGCGGCUAAUCAUGGAUUUUUCUUCGCUAUAAAAACAAAAAAACUCCGAAAAUGUGUGUUAUUGUUUGUGCAAUGGCGCCAUCCUUUGGACGAGUUUUCUCACUGCAUUGUCCUUCGGUUUAAACUGAGCUUUCAACAUCUGAUAGUCGUCCAUAGCGUUUCUACUCGUAUGGAUUCUUCAUUCAUCACUCCAAGCAACGUUUGUAAGCUUUACAAUAUAACUAAAACAAUUCAUAUUUACUAAAGCGUCCCAUGUGUGAUGUCUGUAGGAGUGUUUUCAAGCGUAUUGUACGUGCUAUCAUAAUGUAAUGUAACCAGGAUCAUUAGCAUUAGCUAAAAUGCUAACAGGUGUCAUAGCGUCUGUGUUAGUAUUAUUAACUUACAAUGGCAUUCUUUUUGUAUUUUUUCAGUUUCACAAAUUCCUCAGUAAAUGCAUCAAAACGUCACCGUGGAGUUAUUGAGUCCGUUGGAGAACUAGUUCCCGCAUCUAGUGGGUCCAUGACAAUGACUUCUGUUUUGUUUGAUCAGCCGUUUUACUGCCGUGUUUCGGACAAUUAAGAAAUGUAAAUAAACAUUGACUAAAUAUUUCUGUGUAAAUAACUCAUUCUCACAACGUAUAUAUCCACAGUUUAGUUUAGUUUAUGCUAACACGUAAGGACAUUUAGCUAUGUUCUUACUUCAAAAGAAAGCUAUUCGAAUUCUAAAUUAUGCGGAUUAUCAUGACCAUACCAAUGCUCUGUUUAUUGAAUAAAAAAAACAUUAAAACGGCACGAUCUUGUUGACCUCAACACUGCUAUUGUGACGUACAAAGCUCAUAAGCGCAUGCUGCCAGGGUGUCGGCAGGAGAGGUUUAAACCUGGGGAGUCCCGAUGACCUCAGAGGUUCAGCUGUCUUUCAGAAAGCAAACAUAAGAAGGAGCUUAAAAAGUAGAUGUGUUUCUGUCAGGUGGGGUUCAUCUGUGAAACAGCUUGGAUUAUUCCUUAAAAUGUUCCAGUUCCAUUCACACAUUUGAAAAACACUUUAAGAUGGUUUGGAAAAAUAUAUCACUCUUGAAUCAACACAGUAGUUAAUACUAUGAUCAAUGUUAAUUACAAAUUAAAUGUGGGAUACAAAUAAUAAUGGAAGUAUAACUGUUUGUAUAUAGCAGGCG
Molecule: long non-coding RNA, 1961 nt
Organism: Nerophis ophidion (straightnose pipefish)
Lineage: Eukaryota; Metazoa; Chordata; Actinopteri; Syngnathiformes; Syngnathidae
Exons: 2
Source: RefSeq, a predicted model, not a curated record